GUAGUCCACGCCCUAAACGAUGUCGACUAGUUGUUGGUCCUUCAGUGGAUCGGUAACGCAGCUAACGCGUGAAGUCGACCGCCUGGGGAGUACGGUCGCAAGAUUAAAACUCAAAGGAAUUGACGGGGACCCGCACAAGCGGUGGAUGAUGUGGAUUAAUUCGAUGCAACGCGAAAAACCUUACCUACCCUUGACAUGUCAGGAACCUGGCCGAGAGGUUGGGGUGCCCGCAAGGGAGCCUGAACACAGGUGCUGCAUGGCUGUCGUCAGCUCGUGUCGUGAGAUGUUGGGUUAAGUCCCGCAACGAGCGCAACCCUUGUCCUUAGUUGCUACCCGUUAAGGGGGCACUCUAGGGAGACUGCCGGUGACAAACCGGA
This 377-nucleotide ribosomal RNA is filed under the name uncultured bacterium. Its description in RNAcentral is "bacterial SSU rRNA". It matches the Rfam family "Bacterial small subunit ribosomal RNA", at positions 790 to 1167 of the family's 1533-position model. The record is from RNAcentral.